GCCCGGGCCUGCGGCGGCCCCUGGGAGACAGCGAGGCUGUCGCUCCGCUCCCUCGGGCCCUCGGGGCAGAGCCCAAGCGCGAGUUUCAGCCUCCGCCCUCUUGCUCGGCGCGGCGCCGUGGUUGUUCUCCGGUGCCCUAACCCUCUCACGCCAGCGCCUGAGUUCCAGUCCGGAGGAGACACGAACUGGCUUGGGUGCUAGGGUCCGGUAGAGGCCCCGAGACGUAUUGUUCCCAAAAGAAUAGUCUGUGUAUGUGUACCUUUCCGUAGUCCUCCGUUCCGCGUCGGAGAGGAGGAGCUGGGGAAAUUGAGGAGAAAGGCUUAACAGGCUAGGACUUCCUUUGCUGAACUUACCCCCCCCCCCCACCCCCCAAGGCUGGUUUCUAGUGCUAGGCCACUGGAGGGAUCCAGGACCUCAGAGAGCUGACUCGGUUUUGUUUUGGUCUUGGCGUGUGUGGGAGCAGUUGUGAUCAGAGAGAAUGCUUAAUUUGCCAGUCUCCAUUCGCAUCAGAAAAGCGCGAGAAAUAUUUUGGUGUCUGGUCUCCUUCAUUAGCCAGUGUUGCUUAGGAUGACAGUUACAGAAGAUACCUUCUCUAGGAUUGUGGCUAGAAUUUGUGAGGUUGGUUUUUAUUGGCCAACUGAAUUGGAUUAACCAGGCUGUUUUCUCUCUCUCCUCUGGAAAAUAGUAGUCACCACCUCUCCUGGCUCCGCCCCAAAACUAAGUUUAAAAGUUUACUCAGGGUGCUGAGGUUAAACGGCUUUAUCUUGGUUCACAUUUGGUGGAGAAGCUAAACUUUUGCCAAGGCAGCAGUAUCUUUUAUUUUGUGUUUGUUUUUCUUUUGAGACAAAGUCUCACCUUGUAGCCAAUACUGGCCUUGAAUUUACUGUGUAACCCAACCUGGCCUUGAGUUUGGAUACUUUUCCUGACUGAAGCCUUCAGAGUGCUGGAAUUAUAUGCAUAUGCCACCAUACCCAACUUUCAAGUCAGAAACCUAAAAUUUUAGUUUCGCCCCCACCCCAUCCCCCAAACAAAAGUGGGUAUAGAUGCAGGUGUAUAAAUACUUGGCUACCAGCUUGUUUGCAUUUGUAUAUACAUUAUAAUUCUGUACUAGGAUUUUAUAUAACUUGAGUACUGGAUAAUAUUCUCACUAGUUCCUGUCACUUAUGAACUGUUUAGUAGGUAUUUUUAGUAGUCUCUCCACUGUAAGCAACAGAUACUU
This 1219-nucleotide long non-coding RNA is filed under the name Mus musculus (house mouse). Its description in RNAcentral is "long non-coding RNA chr11:74926118-74927337". Lineage: Eukaryota; Metazoa; Chordata; Mammalia; Rodentia; Muridae. The record is from RNAcentral.